UGGCUCAGGAUGAACGCUAGCGACAGGCCUAACACAUGCAAGUCGAGGGGCAUCGGGGCGAGGAGCAAUCCUUGCCGCCGGCGACCGGCGCACGGGUGAGUAACGCGUAUGCGACCUGCCCGUUGCAGGGGGAUAAUCGGGAGAAAUCCCGUCUAAUACCGCGUAAUGCCGCGGGGCUGCAUGACCCUGCGGCCAAAGGGUGCGAUUCCGGCAACGGAUGGGCAUGCGUGACAUUAGCUAGUUGGCGGGGCAACGGCCCACCAAGGCGACGAUGUCUAGGGGUUCUGAGAGGAAGGUCCCCCACACUGGUACCGAGACACGGACCAGACUCCUACGGGAGGCAGCAGUGAGGAAUAUUGGUCAAUGGGCGCGAGCCUGAACCAGCCAAGUCGCGUGAGGGAUGACGGCCCUACGGGUUGUAAACCUCUUUUGUCGGGGAGCAAAUUCCGCCACGUGUGGCGGAGUCGAGAGUACCCGAAGAAAAAGCAUCGGCUAACUCCGUGCCAGCAGCCGCGGUAAUACGGAGGAUGCGAGCGUUAUCCGGAUUUAUUGGGUUUAAAGGGUGCGUAGGCGGACUGUCAAGUCAGCGGUAAAAUACGGGGGCUCAACCUCCGCCCGCCGUUGAAACUGACGGUCUUGAGUGGGCGAGAAGUAUGCGGAAUGCGUGGUGUAGCGGUGAAAUGCAUAGAUAUCACGCAGAACUCCGAUUGCGAAGGCAGCAUACCGGCGCCCGACUGACGCUGAAGCACGAAAGCGUGGGUAUCGAACAGGAUUAGAUACCCUGGUAGUCCACGCAGUAAACGAUGAAUACUAGCUGUCCGGGGCGAAUGAGCCCUGGGUGGCACAGCGAAAGCGUUAAGUAUUCCACCUGGGGAGUACGCCGGCAACGGUGAAACUCAAAGGAAUUGACGGGGGCCUGCACAAGCGGAGGAACAUGUGGUUUAAUUCGAUGAUACGCGAGGAACCUUACCCGGGCUCAAACGACACAGGAACGUACCUGAAAGGGUUCGGCUCUACGGAGCCUGUGUCGAGGUGCUGCAUGGUUGUCGUCAGCUCGUGCCGUGAGGUGUCGGCUUAAGUGCCAUAACGAGCGCAACCCCCAUCGACAGUUGCUAACAGGUCAGGCUGAGGACUCCGUCGAGACUGCCGGCGCAAGCUGCGAGGAAGGCGGGGAUGACGUCAAAUCAGCACGGCCCUUACGUCCGGGGCGACACACGUGUUACAAUGGCAGGUACAGCGGGAAGCCACCUGGCGACAGGGAGCGGAACCCGAAAGCCUGUCUCAGUUCGGAUUGGAGUCUGCAACCCGACUCCAUGAAGCUGGAUUCGCUAGUAAUCGCGCAUCAGCCACGGCGCGGUGAAUACGUUCCCGGGCCUUGUACACACCGCCCGUCAAGCCAUGGAAGCCGGGGGUGCCUGAAGUGCGCUGCCGCGAGGAGCGCCCUAGGGUAAAACCGGUGACUGGGGCUAAGUCGUAACAAGGUA
RNAcentral lists this ribosomal RNA (1484 nucleotides) under uncultured bacterium. Its description in RNAcentral is "16S ribosomal RNA". It matches the Rfam family "Bacterial small subunit ribosomal RNA". The record is from RNAcentral.